AUCGACGGCUCCUCCUCCCUCCCUCCCUCCAUCGAUUACGCCGUGCAAUUGUUUACAUGUAAUCUUCUCCAACCCGCCCGAUCGGGCCGAGUUGACAACCUAUUCGGGACGGGCAGCAAUCGCUUCUUGUUUGGUAGGGAUCAGUUUUGACCGCCGUCUCAUCGUUCGCUGCGAUAUCCUCUAUGUAUGUUUCCAACCAAUAAUCACAGCAGAGCAUAGCUAUCGGGGACUUUUGCCGCUCCUCGUCGAUUUUUACCCUGAAUGAAUAUCUUGGUCCGCAUCGCUGCUGUAUCCGUGCGUGUUCUCCCAAUUAUUAUUAUUAUUAUUAUUAUCAUUAGGUCGCCAAUGUCUUAACCAUCCACCAGCGUUGUCAGAUCCACUCAGCCGUAUCAACAAGCAGAGUCAAAUCAGGGCCAAAAUUACUUUGAGACCAACCAUGUGAAACUUGUUGCUCUGCUCUGGUCUGCUCUGCUUUCGCAGCAAACAGAGCUUUUCUCAUCUCUGCUUCGCCACCCAGUCUCACUUGUACACCCACUUGUUCUCCAGCGGAGGAGCACCGCCUUUCCGUUUCAGUUCUCCUGCUCAUAUCAGUUAACUGUUUCAAUUUCUUAGACAGUGUUAACACACACACCAUGGCUUCACCGUUGGGGGGCGCCUCCACAUGCGGCAUCAACGCCGCCGUCCCAACCGGGUUCGCGGCCAAGAAGCAGCUCUCCCUCGUUUCGCCCCCGUCAGUUUCGCUGCCGCAGAGAAUCAGGCCAGGGAGGAAGUGCAGUUUCCGAGCGAACGCCGCAAAGGAGCUCUACUUCAACAAGGACGGCUCGGCUAUCAAGAAGCUGCAAGUCAGUCGAAAUCGCCGUACCAUCUUUUAUAUGCCGCCGCUUCCGUUUCAGUUUGUGAUCCCUUAUAUAUUGCUGACUUCAUUUUACCCUGUGAUCAGACUGGGGUAAACAAGCUUGCUGAUCUCGUCGGGGUUACUCUUGGCCCAAAAGGAAGGAAUGUUGUCCUUGAGAGCAAGUACGGUUCUCCUAGGAUUGUCAAUGAUGGCGUUACCGUGGCAAAAGAGGUACUCUUCUGUCAGGAGAUGUAGAACAACAUUUCUUUACCCUUCGAUCCUGACUGAGCUUUUCUCAUGAUUGGCUUCUGGACAGGUUGAGCUGGAGGACCCUGUUGAAAAUAUUGGAGCUAAAUUGGUCAGGCAAGCUGCUGCUAAGACCAAUGAUUUGGCUGGUGAUGGGACUACCACUUCUGUCAUCCUUGCCCAAGGGAUGAUUGCCGAGGGUGUUAAGGUACAGCAACAUCAAGCCGUGGGUCUUGCUACACUUUAUAGCAUAUAAGUGCUCUCAUUCUGUUCUGGACAUAAUGUUCAGUUUGUUUAAUUACUUUCUGCAGAUUGUAGCUGCCGGUGCUAAUCCAGUACAGAUUGCCCGUGGUAUUGAGAAAACAACCAAAGCACUAGUCGGUGAGCUCCGGAAGAUGUCCAAGGAGGUGAGAUAUCGCUAAUCUUUUGUUCCGUUCUGGAAAUAAAAUCUUUUAAAUUUUUGCAUUAUGCCUCCUCUGACCUAUGAUGUUCUGCAGUCACAAAUAUGAAACCAAUCUUCUAAUGCAAUAUUAGCAUGCAUCUGAUUCUUGUGACUCUGCCUCACUAUGUUACCUAUAAACAGGAUGGCUUAUUUACCUUUAUAGGCCGUAAAUGAGACAUGUUCUAUUACCCAACUGCUCUCAUAAUACAGAAUAAAUGUGAAUUCAGCAAUUGGACAUAUACUGUACAUGAUUAAGUCCACAGCAAUUGGUGCUGAACAUGACAUCACCAGGUUUUCCAAUGAACUGUGCCGCAUCAGCACAUGUAUUUUCCUUUUUUCUUCCGUUCCAAAUACACAUGCUCUGUUCUGUUUUUCCAUGUCUAUAUUUCCCCCGGAUUUCUUCUGAAAGUUAUGUGGUCUGUGAUUGACCAUCUCUCUUUUCCAGCUGAUGUUAUAAAUGCCUGAUAAUCAUGUAAUAACUAGUUAUUUUCAGGAACACUAAUCCCCAUUUCGAUCUAUUGAAAACUCAAACUUAUUGAAUUCCUCUCAAUGUUGCAGGUUGAAGAUAGCGAACUUGCUGAUGUUGCUGCAGUAAGCGCUGGAAAUAACUACGAAAUUGGCAACAUGAUAGCUGAUGCUAUGAGCAAGGUUGGGCGACAGGGGGUGGUUACACUUGAAGAAGGCAAGAGUGCCGAAAACAACCUCUAUGUGGUUGAAGGGAUGCAAUUCGACCGCGGCUAUAUUUCUCCCUACUUUGUAACCGACAGUGAAAAAAUGUCAGUGGAGUAUGAGAAUUGCAAGGUCUGUUUCUCUAUAGCUUUUUGCCACCUUCUCUACUUAAAUGUCAGUAAUCAACACCUCCAUGAGUCCUAUGCUAUUGACCUGAUUUUUUUUCCAUGACCCAGCUGCUUCUUGUGGACAAGAAAAUUAACAACGCCAGAGAUCUCAUCACUCUUCUCGAGGACGCUAUUAAGGGUGGAUAUCCAAUUUUAAUAGUCGCAGAGGAUAUUGAGCAGGAAGCUCUUGCAACUCUUGUGGUCAAUAGGCUUAGAGGUGCACUGAAGAUUGCUGCUAUUAAAGCCCCUGGUUUUGGAGAGCGCAAGAGUCAAUACCUGGAUGAUAUCGCAACUCUGACAGGAGGUAAAUUUAAUCUUUGGUGCAAAUUUGUUGUUUCUCGUUUUGAUAUUGGUUCACUUAUAAAGGUCAUUAUUGUCCCAGGCACUGUCAUCCGAGAAGAAAUAGGGCUCUCCCUGGACAAAGCAGACAAAGAAGUCCUUGGAAAUGCCGCCAAGGUUGUAAUUACUAAGGAUUCCACAACAAUUGUUGGAGAUGGUACUACACAGGAGGAAGUAACCAAAAGGGUUACACAAAUCAGGAACCAAAUUGAGGUCUGUGUAGUGUAAACUUGUAUUAUUACAUGUUUCCAGUUUUUCAUAUCCUAUUUCUCGAAUGCGCUAGGCCUCCCGAUGCAGCCCCUGUCUAUAGCCUUUUUCAUCCUAUCAAGUUAGUUAGGCUGCAGUUUCUUGUCUCUCUUUUUUUGUCAUCUUUGUUUAUUUUUCUCCUUUUGCUUCUCCUUUUUCUUUGUGUUUGGCUGUAUCUUAGCAUCAGUUGAUGCACUUCAUUACACAGACCGCAUUUUGAUGCAUGCUUGAGAAAAACAAUUUCCUAUUUGUGAAACCAUGUUCUGUUUUUCUUAUUUUUCGCAUGGCUCCUUUGUUUCUCCAGUCUCUUGGUUGCUCUGUUUUUCAUGUAUGAGUAGCUUUAGUUUUUGUGUUUUGCACGUGCCACUUGAAGUGUGAAUGAAAAUGCCUCAAGUAAUCUUUUGUUCAAACUUUUCUUUUUCAGGCUUCUGAACAAGAAUAUGAAAAAGAAAAGCUAAACGAGAGGAUAGCUAAACUAUCUGGUGGUGUUGCUGUCAUUCAGGUACUUGUGCUGUUUCAUAUUGAGCUUCCUACUGGUGCACUGGGCUGCAAUUGCAGAAUGGCAACUAGUAGUGUGGUAGCAUAAUAUAACAGCUAUACAAUGAUACCUCUUGGUUUGUUGUAGGUAGGAGCACAGACUGAAACUGAGCUCAAGGAAAAGAAACUGAGGGUUGAAGACGCGCUGAAUGCAACAAAGGUAAUGCUUCCUUUGGUGCAAGUCUAAUUAUAUUUUGGGAUUUAUGAUCUCACUCAGAGAAGCCUUCUGGUCCACUGUAGUAUUGUACCGAUUUUACUUUUACAGCGAACUCCAUGUAAUCAUUGCUUGUUAGUUGACUCCUUGCUUUGUUGACAGGCCGCUGUGGAGGAAGGUAUUGUUGUCGGUGGUGGAUGUACCCUUCUAAGGCUUGCAUCAAAAGUUGAUGCCAUUAAAGAAACCCUUGAGAAUGAUGAACAAAAGGUAUGGAAAAGGCAAACGAGAUGCUCUUUCUUCAAGUCUCCUCAUUCAAAUGCUUUUUUGGUUCGAGGUGCUGUUUUCCUCGAUCAAAAUGAACCAAUUUGUCUGUUUGCCUUUUCAAGGUUGGCGCUGAAAUUGUUAGGAAAUCCUUGAGUUAUCCACUUAAACUGAUUGCGAAAAACGCUGGUGUUAAUGGCAGCGUGGUCACUGAGAAGGUUUGGAUUCAGAUUUCUUCUGUUAUAUAAACCUGAUACCAGCAACGUGUGUGUUUCUAAUUUGGAGCGUACCUGCGUCCAGGUCCUUGUGAACGACAACUUCAGGUACGGCUACAAUGCCGCUACAGGGAAGUAUGAGGAUUUGAUGGCUGCUGGUAUUAUUGAUCCCACAAAGGUACGAGCAAACUGUGUUGACAUCUUUUUGUCUUGUCUCAGAACAUCUUUUCUCAAACUAAAUAUUUCUUUGUAAAAAUAGUGUUAUUCAAGUAAGAGGCAGGGGUUCUGUCCCUGGAAUACUGUAUCCACCCUCCGAUUUCUUUGCAAACAGUGGGCCCAUAAACUAACCUGAUUUCUCGCAAAACAGGUUGUGAGGUGCUGCUUGGAGCAUGCCGCAUCGGUGGCCAAGACAUUCAUCACCUCUGACGCCGUCGUGGUGGACAUCAAGGAAUCUGAGCAGGCACCUGCCGCAAAUCCAAUGGCCGGUUCAGGUAUGCAGAGACAACAAAAUAUGUGCUCGUUGCCAAUAUAAUAAGUUUUCAUCUAACUUUGCUGUCUACAGGUUACGGGUUCUAAUAUACGAGAAUAUCCAGCUCUGUUUUGGUGUCCCUUUGGUGCAUAUUGCGUCGGAGGUUAUACUUUGAGAAAAGAAGCGUGGAUGCUAUUGUGUCGCGGGUCAAAACCGGAAACCAUUUUGUUGUGCUAUUGUCGCGAACCAAAUGUCGGAACGUGAGUCUUCUUUACAAUUUCACACUAGAAUCUAGUCUUGAAAGAAAGUGAGCACUUUUUUUUGCGAAAAAGUCAACACUGUAUUGUAGGUAUAGUUAAUUUAUAGGUGAUGUCACCACCAAAUUAAUUUGUUUCUGAGUCUUGUGGUAAUGCUGGCUGUUGUUGCAUAUAUGCGGAACGGUGAUUGGGACUGCCUUUCUUUAUUUUUACCGGAAGGGUCUACACUGUGACUGUAGCGGGCCGGUUCUGCUUGUCUGAUGUGCGAGGCCUGGUUUGCUAUGUCCAGCCGAUCAAAUAAAUACGAUGGGCCCAUUCUGCCAAGGCCAGGCCAUCUCGCUAGUAGUAAUACUGAAAAAAAAUAGCUUCAACUUCGAGUUCACUGGCAGGCCCAAUAGCGUCGCUUGACUCACUCCACUCCUUUUUCUAUUGACGCUUGCUUAGAGAAAACAAUACACCAGCUGCUUCCUAAAAAUCAGAGACUUCAUUAUGAAAAAAACCAUCAAAUAAAAAUUUCGAAUUCAUAAAUAUGUUAACAAAAUUAAAGAAGUUUUUUUUAUAUUUUCAUUAGAAAAAUGGAAUUUUAAAGAGUUCACAUAUUUCAAAAAUGUUUUUGAUUUUUUUUACAAAUUUUAACAAGUUGACUUCCACACCAUGGGUAGCUGCUGUGGUAAAAAAGUUCACAUAUUUUGAAAAUGUUUCCAGUUCACAAUUAUGCUUGUUAGAGUGCUAUUAACAAAACAUUAUGCAUUGAUUUAUUUAGUGAGACAAUUAUGACGCACUAGUCUAUGCUACUAACUGUAUAAUGUAAAGUUUCAUGGAUGGUUGCAUUCAUUAGCUUGUAGAUUCAUAACUAAUUUAUGAGUAUGUUACCAUCAUCAUCUAUUUUUUCGUUUAAUAGUAUACAAUGUCGCCAAUAUGCCUAGUUGACAUGCCACGAGGAUGCAUAUUACUCCGAGUAUGUCUUAGUCUAAACGAGGACGAUAACAUAAUAAGUUCACUUUGUUGAUUUUUAUCAUCCAACCACCCCUGCAAAGGCGGCUUCAACCCGGCGGCCAAGGACCCGGCGCCCCCUUCCUACGGCCAUGGCUAGCCGGCGAGGCAUCGGAUCCGGUGCUCCUCGGGAGCUACGCUGUUUUUCGGCUCCUAUGGCUCGCUAGCUUCAUGGCAUCUCCGCAUCGAACUCCCUGUGGGUGCCCCUGGUUGGCUGUCCAUCCCGACACACCUUUGGUUCAGACAUGUUCUGGAAGUUGCAUCCCCUUUGGCCCUUCAGCGCUCUUGCUGUUGCGGUCCUGGUAUCCUAUAUCCGCGCUCCCAUCCAAAUCAUGGCCUUUGUGGGGCUUAUUUUAAUAUAAUCUAAUGAGGAGCAUCUAGUUGAUUUUGAAGCUACUUACAUGCACAUGCAAUCGCGAGCCCAACGGGCAGGCUUCAACAGGCUGAAGCCUGCACUUCAGAAAAUGCGAUUUUUCUACUACUAAUCUGCCUCGUUAUGGCCCGGCCCAACUAGUCCGAGCGCCCAACCCAAGUACUCACAGCAAGAUGUUCUCGUUCUCGCCAGCACAGAGAAGAGAAGCGUCGCCGCCGUCCUAACCCUAGGGCCUAGGCAACAUGCUCCUCGCCUCCUCCGAUCCUCCUGACUCAACGGCGGCACGGCGACACGGCCACCUCACGCAGGCACUACACAAGGCGCGAGCGUCGACGACAGCCUGCUGGAUUAGCGCGGCGUUGAAGGCGCCAACUCAUCGGUGAGUGGAGAAGUGGAGGCGCUGACAUCCGAUCGAACCGCCGGAGCGAGCAUUCAUGAUGAUUGGCUAAAUGAUUUGAUGAUGUGCUACCAGGAGAAAGAGAUAUUUAGAAGCAUUCAUGAUGACCAAAUCAUGAUAGAAUUCUAGAAAAUGAGGGAUCAAAAAGGACAUUUGCCUCAUGAGUUUAAUGUGAUUUCUUAGAGGUAUAGAUACCGAUGUAACUAGUUUUAAUACUUAGUUGUCCAUGACUUAUUGUUUCUUCACUAACAAGUGUGCUAAUUUGGAUAGAGGGCUUGGCGGUUGUGCCUUGGGCAUACAUUUUUAUAUUUUCGUGUGGAGGUGUACUAUAACUACAAUACCAGUUAGCAAGAGCAACAUUUUAUUGUCUUUUGUUGUUGCUUCUCUUGUACUUUGAUGUCUUGAUUACUCUAAUUGUAUUAACAUUUUGAGUAUGGCUAAACAUGUUACUAGUACUGGCCUUGAAAAUUGUCAUUGUUGUUUUGAGCACUACUUUGGCACAUAUUGUCUUCGCAAUGUUAAGCUUUAUGCACUAGCCAACGCAACCAAAAGUCCGAACUGAUGGAAAGGGCUAGGCAAUCCACAUAUAGUGUAGCACCCCCUUUCACGUGUGACGGGGAAGAGAAGUCAACACGUGUAACCGGAAGAGAGCGACGGCGCGCGAAGGUCAUGUAUGACUCAAGAGGCCUCUACGUGGACACAAAGGGGGGCUACCAGCAAUUUUUAAUAAAUUGCGAAAGCCAGGACUUGAACUCAAGACCUUAGCUCUGAUACAACUCACGUAUGAUUCAAGAGGCCUCUACGUGGACACAAAGGGGGCUACUAGCAUUUUUUUAAUAAAUUGCGAAAACCAGGACUUGAACUCAAGACCUUAGAUCCGAUACCAUAUUAAGCUUCGUGCACUAGCAAACGCAACCAAAAGUCCGAACUGAUGGAAAGGGCUAGUGCAAUUCACAUAUACUGUAACAUCCCUCUCACGUGUGACCGGGAAGACAAGUCAACACGCGCAACCGGAAGAGAGCGACGGCGUGCGAAGCUCACGUAUGACUCAAGAGGCCUCUACGUGGACACUUAGGGGGGCUAUCAACAAUUUUUAAUAAAUUACGAAAGCGAGGACUUGAACUCAAGACCGUAACUCCGGUACCAUGUUAAGCUUCAUGCACUAGCCAACGCAACCAAAAGUCCGAACUGAUGGAAAGGGCUAGGCAAUCCACAUAUAGUGUAACACGCAAUACCAAUAUUUAGCUCGAGAUUCAAUAUUAAAAAAAAAUCAAAAGCUUUCCAGUAAAUAUUACUCCCUCCGUCCCGAAACAAGUGUCGAUGCUUUAAUACAAAUUUUGUACUAACUUAGUAUAAAAUUUGCUUCACUUAUUUUAGGACAGAGGAAGUACAUGUUUCCAGUAGUAUUCUGGGAAAGUAUGAGCACAUUUGGACAAAUGACCUAGGAGAUGCUGGCUAUUUAGCUAAUCAUAUUCAAAAUAUAGUUUAUAAUUUAAUAUUUUUCAAAAAUUCCAAAACAAAUCCAGUAAAUACUUCAUGCUUCCAAUAGUAUUCUGAAAAAAGUUUGAGCACAUUUGAACAAAUGGACUAGGAGAUGAUUUUGUUUCUCAUUUUUUGCACCGUUAACUUUGAACCCCAUUUUCUUUCUGGAUUCGGCACUGUGCAUAUGCAUCUGCAUCAGUCAUGGGACACAUGCUGCACAGUUCUUUUGAUCAAAUCUAGCAAGUGGAUAAACAUAUUUAUAUAUACUAGAUAAAAGCAAGUUGAUUCUGACUCACGCGCGCAGAGGUCGGAUCUGACCCAAUUAAUCAGAUCGAUGGUGUAGUCACCUCCACGGAUGACUCUCUAUAAUAACUAGUGCCAACCCGGCUGGUGAUCUAAGCAGGUAGCUAACUGUGGUAGUACUACGUACUCAGCUAGCAAGCAAUGGUGGCUAUGGGUAUGUAUUCCACAAAGCGUGGCGUUGUGUGGUGCGCCGGCCUGCUCGUCGUCGCCGGGCUUCUUAUCGCGGUCGCGGCAGCGGAUGCAGAUUUCUGCUGCGAGGAAUGCCGCGGCGACACCGAUUCCUUGGGGGGUUGCGUCCGCCGGUGCAGAUCUCCUCAGCUUGAGGUUGCACGGCCGACGAACUGCGUCGCCCUCUGCCAUGCCAAGCCCAACUUCAUGGCCUGCUGCAAGUAUGUCCGACGAGCGACUCCGCGUCUCCGCCGGGCCGGCGGGGAAUCAACGACGCAUGAAGAAGAAGAAGAAGCAAGCGGAGGAGCAGUGCGCGUCCUGAAGGCGCCGGCCCCGGCGCCGUGUGAAGUGCUCUGCCGCGACCAGCCGGACUGGGUGGCCUACCAGCGGUGCCUCGAUCGCUGCCGAUGGGGAGCGUGUCUCCGACGAGCGCUUCUUCAUCUUGAGCUUGCCGGCAGGGAGUCAGCGACACAUGAACAAGUCCUGACGGCCAUGGCGGUGCGGCUCUCGGAUGCAUGCCAGGACUCGUGCCAAAACCACGCGCACUAUGACUGGUGCGUCCGUCGCUGCCGGUUUGGGCCGCAUCUCAGGCUUGCCGGUGGCGGUGGGGAACCAGAAGAAGCCGGCGGGGGAGCAGUUGAUGUUCCCCAGACGGUGGGUCAACGACACAUGAAGAAGAAGAAGAAGAAGACGGUGGCGGGGGCACGGCCGAUGGACUCUACCGACCCGUGCGAGGGCUACUGCGUGGAGCAAACGCGUUAUUUCCCCAGGCCCGGGCAGUUCUACGAUUGCGUCGAGGAGUGCCACGCCGGCCAUGGUCGGCUCGCCGUCGACGGCAGGAAUGGGAUCCUCCGUCGCGUCGAGCGGGAACCAGAGACGACGGAUGACCAGGUGCAGCUUGGCAGCGGCGGCAGGAAUGGUGAGGCUGCUGUUGCUGCUGCAGGAGCACAAGCGAUGAAUACCGAGUCGUGCGAGGCCUACUGCAAAAGGCAUGCCCGAGAUUUCCCCCCCAAGUACGCUGCCUGCGUGCGCCAGUGCCAGUCAGGUGGGCACCCCGGGGACGGCAUAGCCGCCCGUGUCAGGCAGGAACGGCACAAGAAGGACGGCAAGAAGAUAGCCAUCGAAUAGGCCUGCCCAUUUGCCUUCGUUGUAUUGAGCUUAGCUAGCUAGCCAGCUCGUGUUCUUCUUUUCUUUGUCCACAUAAAAUAAUGGUCGGCUACUAGGGGGCCGUCGGCACUGCCACGCCGUGCCAUUGUUUGCUUUAAUUCUGUUUGCUGAAACAAAGCUUCCAUGACUUCUACGGUGAGGUUUUCAAAUUUGGCUAUCAGACAUGUUCUCGAGGGGCACACGUCCGCAUCUAGAUAGUUGACUAAAGCAUUAAUUGCACGCACAAUAGCAAUACACAGAGAUGCGACUCAUGAUACUCCCUCAUCACAGUUUAUAAGACAUGCACGUGUACCUAAGUCAUCAAUUUGACUUAUAUAAAAUAUAUUGUUUAACAUAAAAAUUAUAUCAUUAGAAAAUAGAACAUCUAAAGUUUCUGAUGAUAUAUUUUUUAUAAUAUAUGCCUCUUAUAAACUGAAACGGAGGGAGUAAUAUAUAUCUUGUGAGUUUAUCGAAGCAUGUGUAUACAUAUUCUUUCUGGAUGUAUUUUUUUUAUUAUUUCUGAUAUUCAUUGUACUGUUAUGAUUAAAGAUGAAUAGAUCAAAGUUUUUCUGCAAAACGAAAGUAUUCCCUCCUUCUCCAACAAAGUGAAUAUACACGUGAUCAGUGGCGGAUACAAGCCUAGGGCAAAUAGGGCUAUAGCCCUAGGUUUAGUGGCAAUAGUCUUUGUAUUAUCUUCCUACAAAGUACAAAAAAUCUUUAAAGUACACCAGCCAAGCUAAUUUAGCCCUAGUCGUAACCCUAUGCUAAUUCCGCCCCUGCACAUGAUUAUGGCUGUGAUAGUCUUGAAAUUACCAAGAGACUCACUAAAUUCGUUGAUGCAAUCAAGUCCACGCGCGAAAACAAGUUCACUGCCGGUACUGAAGUAUAUCAGUAUCUGUCGUGGGUAUAAGCCUGACAAUAGAUGUGUAGGGUACGAAAGGAUGGACAGAGCCUUAGCUACGGCGAGGUUGUAUGAGUUCAGGCCCCUCUACGGUGGAGGUAAAAGUCCUACGUCUCAGUGCUCUGGGGAGCUUGUUGUCGAGUGGAAUAUGGAUUACAGUGAAUUGCUAACCCCUGCACCAGUGGGGAAGGACGGCUUAUAUAGAGUGCGCUACCCUUCACAACGGUUCGGUGCACAGGGGUGGAGUAGUGAUGAAUAAUUGCAUACGUUACAGGUAACGUAUGUCUUAAAUGCUAAUAAAGGUAUAUGGAAACGUAUGACCAUUACCCUCCAGGGGGGUUACGAUGUACAGAGUGGAAUCCAGUCGGUAAGUUUGAUACGCUCCGAAUGCUCAUCUCCGACUGGAUGAUGGAGGAAUCGUCACCGGCUGGAUGAUGGAGGAAUCGUCACCGACUGGAUGAUGGAAAGUCCUUAAUUCAGUCGGAACUGACUAAGGGCCUUGUCCUUUAUGAAGGGUAGUCCUUGGGUAGGCUCUACAAGGCAGGCCUAUGACCCUACCCUAGGACUAUAACCCCAUCAUUAGUCCCCGAAUGGAUUGGGGUUGGAACGACGAAGCGAUGCUUGGAGUACGGAUCCGACUGGUACGGAUGCGACUUUGGCGUUGUUUGCCUCGAUCCAUUUUAUCUUCUUGACCAAUGAUCCGAGUGGAUGUAUUUGUGAAAUGAACCGUCAGGGACCAAGUGCUUCCGUGGUAUCUUUUGACGUGACCAGUCAACUGACAGCGGCGGAUUUUCCGGGAUCCUCAAAUUUUGGUUGCCGCGCGCUCGGCGGGGGUGACGACAUCGUAAUCGAGUAGUAUCUGCCGCCUCAAUUUCCGCGCCUUCAUCUCCUCCACUAAUAUCGCAGCGACCGGUCGGGGGAUAAGAUUUCGGGGCCACCUGCUAGUGACCCAGUCGGAACCUUAUUUAAACCUCUACAACGAGGGUUUUUCGUUGCACUCGCCUGAUAGCUCGCACUUGCCCCGCUUCAUUCGUCACCUUCUGCGCAUCUCAAGCUCCUUCCUUCUCCUUCUCCCCCGCGGGUCUGCAGCCUCCACCAUGGCAAAGGGGCAGACGAGCAAGCUCGAGGCGCGGAAGAAGAAGGGGAAGGCGGCGGCUCCUGCUCAGCGGCGGCAGCGAGCACUGCCGGCGGGUUGGAUCCAGGGGGAUUUCCUCCCCUCCACGGUGACGGAAGAGGACAUGCUGGAGCUGGUAGAGCACGGCAUGAUCGAGCACAAGACGUGGAGGUUGCCGACGGAGGGCGAGACCGAGCCGGCGCCCCAGGAGGGGGAGCGCGUCUUGCUGCUCAGUCACGUGCACCGAGGCUUCUCUCUGCCUCCUCAUCCCUUCUUCAGAGGUAUAUUGAAGCACUUCGGGGCGCAGCUCCACCAUUUUCCUCCCAACACAAUAGCUCAUCUCUCUGCCUUCGUCGUGCUGUGCGAGUGUUUUAUCGGCUGUCCUUCCCAUUGGGGGCUUUUUAAGCACAUCUUCUCUGCUAGAUCUCAAACCAUCAAAAGGCUGAGCCAGUCGGAUGACAAAACUCACCUCCUCCAGCUCUGCGGAGGCUUAGGCUUCCAAAAGAAAAUUAAAAGUAGCUAUCCCGCUCUUCAGUUGUCUGAAUCGGUUAGGAACUGGUAGUCGACUUGGUUUUACUGCCAGGACAUUGCCGGCCCGAAUGCCGCCACUGGACUACCACCUUUUAGCUUAGACCGACCGGCUCCGCCUAGGCAGCUCACGCUCACGAAGAUGGAGAAGAUCCAGAUCCAGCCUCUGGUCGAUGCGCUUGUAGAGGUCGUCCAAAAGGGAGUCACUGGCAUAGAUUUGCUGGAGGUUUUUCUGGGUCGGCGUAUCCAGCCUUUUCAAGCUCGACACCAUGCCAUGUGGCACUACACAGGGCCUGAGGACUCCACUCGGACUAACCCCGAGUGCGUGACCGGGGAGCUGGUGGCGUCGUGGGUCCUCAACAUCACAGGCGCAUGCGAUAAUCCCAGAGGAGCUCGGCGAGUGAAGCCCUUCCACGCGGACAACCCUCCUCCGAAUGAGGUGAGUAUAACUUGUCGAGUGCACCCAAUUGUCUUAGAUUUAUCGCUUUUUCUUGUAUUAUUGUUUGACGUCUGAUGUUGUCGACUGUAUCUCGUGCAGGCAUGGACCAACUGGUUUUCUCCUGUCUCGAACUGGAAUCCGGCCGAGGAGGAGGAAGGUAGCCAGGAGGGCGGCGUGGAGAGCGUCGAGUACGUCUCCGACAGUGGAGAGACGGAGGAGGAGUCCGAAGAAGAAGGGGGGGGGGAGAUGNNNNNNNNNNNNNNNNNNNNNNNNNNNNNNNNNNNNNNNNNNNNNNNNNNNNNNNNNNNNNNNNNNNNNNNNNNNNNNNNNNNNNNNNNNNNNNNNNNNNNNNNNNNNNNNNNNNNNNNNNNNNNNNNNNNNNCCUCGAACCAAACGUCGCCACGAACCCGUGGCUCCGUCGGCUCCUCCAGCGGCCUCGAGUGCCCCGCCAGCUCCUCCUGUGGUUCCGAGUGACUUGCCAGCUACUCCCGUGGUUCCGAGUGCUCAGAGCACAAAGAGGACUAGGGACUCUGCUGCUGAGCCCGCGGGCCAGCCCUCUAAGGUGGCCAAACUGAGUGGAUCCAAGCCUCGGAAGGCUUUGCCGCGGAUGAGGAUCGCCGUUCCCGUCGCCUCAGCGUAAGUGCAUUGUUCUUCUAUCUUCUUCUAGUAUUUGAUUGAACUCAUGCUUAUCGGUCGAAUGAAUUUAACUUGACAGAGCUGCCACCUCCGCCACUUCUGUGCCGCGCCAGGAAGACGAUCCCAUGGAUACGGACAAUGUUGUCACGUCCCAGCAAGGUAUGUCGUGGCGACUCCGAGAGCUUACAUUAUUGUUUCGCAAAUUCCGUCUUUGGUCUUGCCCUUUUUUUUGUGGUCUCACGUCGUUUGGUCGGGCUUCCUUCAAAGGUGAUCCAUGUGGAGGACGAUGACCAGAAGAGGUCCGAGCAAGCUGUGGCGCGUGUCCUUGAGGCUGUUCCGUCUGUUACUACCCCCGCCAUGGACGCGCCGCCAACUGAGACGAUACCGUCGACUGACACGACGCUCAUCGUUGCUGAACCGACUGGAGCAGGACUUGGGAUGCCCAAGGAGUCUCUUGUGGUGCCAGGUCUUUCGACCGUCCAGUUCGACGCCCGGCGCCUUCCGGAGGAUCAGGUGGGAGCUGCCAAGGGGGCCAUGGUGCAGGCGGAGUUGAUGGCGGGUGAUGCCAAGAGAGCGUACGACUCCAUCGCGUCUGUGUACAAGCGAAGCUUGGAACUCCGGGACGAUAUCCGAGUAAGUGGGCUAGUAAGUAUUUGCUUUCCCCUUUAACCCACUGGGUGUUUAAGCCAGAUACUCGGAUACAGAAUGAUUAGUUUGCGGUGGGUUCACUCUUAGUGAACCCAGUGGGUGUAGUCCCCGAGACUUCUGUCGAGUGCUUGCACCGGCAGUUGUCUUUAUAUAAAUUUUCUUUUAACUUGAUCAGAUCAAAACUAAUCUGCUCGAAUGUUACCGGUGGGGGCAUUCCGAGUGCACCUACUGGUUUAGUCCCCGAGAGUAAUUUUACUUAGGUCGGGUAGUAGUAACCUCAUAGGCUUGUUUUUUGUUAUGUAUCUCAAUACGGCGGACCUGUUUGAGCUUCAUGCCAGUGGGGCCACUCUUAGUGAACCCACUGGGUGUAGUUCCCGAGACUGCUGUCGACUGCUUGCGUCGGCAGGGGUCUGAAGAACUUCGAGUUUGUAUUGUUGUCUUUGUUGAAUUUGUCUGAUCGUCUCUUCGCGCUGACUUGCAGAAGACUUGCGAGAUGGGAUCAGCGUACGAAACUCUGAGAGCUGAAAAGAUUCAGUUUGCUGCGGAACUGGAUGCAGCAAUGCUUGCCUUGGCUGGUAUGAAGGGUGUUCUGGCUGAACGAGAGAAGUCCUUGGAGGAGUCCCGUGAGGCAAACAAGGCAUUGGUGGCCGAAGUGGAGAAAAUGGGGAAACAAAGAACUGAGCUGAUGGGACAGAUGCAGGUGAUGAACAGGCGGUGCAUAGCACACGAGAAGUACGUCAGUGACUGGGCAAGGCAGAUGAUUGCGCUUCUCGGUGGUAAGUUCUGUUUUUCCGAGUGUUUGUUGACUGUGUAGUUCAUUCUGCACUUACUUGCUGCUCGUCUUGUCAUUGCAGAUUUUUGUAUGGACGCUGAGGCUGAAGCAGCUGACGUGGAGCGGUCGGUUAUUCCGAACGUUCCACGCGGCGAUGACGCCAAUCGAGACAUGCUGCGAGCGCACAUUCGCCUGGGUAAAGUGGGACCUUUCAUCGGUCGACUGAGAGAGGUCGUCGGCCGAAUCGACAAGGAGCUGUGGCCCGAAGACGAGUCUCGGCAAGAGAUGGAAGGGUUGAUGACUCGGCUGGAGGAGGUCCCUAACCGAGUGCAGGCGUGGAAGAAGUCUGUGACUCGCUGUGGUGCGGAUGUGGCGCUGUCCUGGUCCGAGUGCACUGCAAGGAGGCUCGCGAAGAGAAGCUGAAGGCGUUGGAGGUCGCAAACACCAAGAAGCUUCGAUUCGAAGAUUUCAUGGAGACCUUCCUUGAGAGCGCCACUCGCAUCGCAGAGGGGAUUGACCUCGACACUUUCGUGGAGCCUGCCAGUCCCAGUGCCAGUCCUGAUGACUCUUGAGAAAACUUUUACCUCGGUAUGCCGAUUGUUAGCUGUAUGAAACUUUGGCCACUGCUGUUGGCCGUCACAUUCGUGGUUCGGUGUGGAUAAGCUUGAUCUACACCGAACCAACUAUCUUUAGACGAACUUUGAAUUUGAAUCAAAUCUUUUGCUCUUCCUUUGCCAAAGAGUUGUUGACACGAUUUUGGCUCGUGGUUUUUGUUUGGCGUUUCUUGGUGAAGUCAAUGGCAAACAUGCGGAGCAUGUAAUUGUCAGUUGUCUUGAUAUCUGCAUGAGCCUCACUGAGGGUCUGCUGGGUCUCCGAGUGGAUCUGUAGGAUACACUCGAAGGCAAUUGUGUACUUAGGCGAUUCGUGAUCGCGGCUAAGUCUUCGAGUGCGACUGUAAGGUCGUACUCGGAGCGAGUUGUUACUCAUGUAAUUGUUAGUUGUCUUGACAUCUACAUGAGCCUCAAUAAGGUUCUGCUACUCAUGUAAUUGUCAGUUGUCUUGACAUCUACAUGAGCUUCAAUGAGGGUCUGCUGGGUCUCCGAGUGGAUCUGUAGGAUACACUCGAAGGAAGCUUUCUAUUUAGGCGAUUCUUGAUCGCAGACAAGUCCCCGAGUGCGACGUUUAGUGCACAUUCGGAGAAAGUUAGUACUUAGGCGAUUCUGGAUCGCGUCUAAGUCUCCGAGUGCGACGUUUAGUGCACACUCGGAGAAAGUUUGUANNNNNNNNNNCUUCGAGUGCGACGUUUAGUGCACACUCAGAGAAAGUUCGUACUUAGGCGAUUCUUUAUCGCAGCUAAGUCUCCGAGUGCGACGUUUAGUGCACACUCGGAGAAAGUUUGUACUUAGGCGAUUCUUGAUCGCAGCUAAGUUUUUUUUUUGAGACCGGAGUCUGCGACCGCGAAAGAAUUUUGAAUCUGCAAAAACUCAAUCUGCUUUGUAUUACUUCAACGAUACUUGUUCUUUACAUUGCUUCAGUCGAUGGUCACGUGUAGAAGCGCUUCAGGAGAUCUCCGUUCCAUGUUCACGGCUCGUCCGUUUCCCUGUCGAGGUUGUAGAGUCGAUAUGCUCCGUUGUUCAGCACCUUGGAGAUGAUGAAGGGUCCUUCCCAGGCGGGAGCCAACUUGUGAGGUCUCUGCUGAUCCACUCGGAGCACGAGGUCGCCUGUUUGGAAUGUACGACUCCUGACGUGCCGCGCGUGAAAACGCCGCAGGUCUUGUUGAUAAAUGGUUGAGCGAGUCAGUGCCAUCUCGCGCUCCUCCUCUAGAAGAUCCACUCCGUCUUGCCUUGCUUGCUGUGCUUCAGCUUCGGAGAAGAGUUCAACUAGUGGAGCGUUGUGAAGCAAGUCACUCGGAAGGACUGCCUCUGCUCCGUAAACGAGGAAGAACGGGGAUCGCCCUGUAGAUCUGUUUGGGGUGUGCGGAGACCCCAAAGCACCGAAGGCAGCUCGGUGACCCAUGCGCCGGCGGCAUGCCCCACUUCUCGCAGGAGUCGAGGCUUCAAACCUUGCAGAAUAAGUCCAUUCGCCCGCUCUGCUUGCCCGUUUGUUUGGGGAUGUGCCACAGAUGCAAAAUCGACUCAGAUACCUUGGCAUGUACAGAAACUUUUGAAUCUGUCCGAGUCAAAGUUUGUUCCAUUGUCAGUGAUUAUGCUGUGAGGUACCCCGAAUCUGGAGAUGAUGUCCGUGACAAACUUGAUGGCCGUAAGGGCGUCGAGCUUUUUGAUGGGCUUGGCUUCAAUCCACUUUGUGAACUUGUCGACUGCCACCAACAGAUGUGUGAAUCCCCCUUGGCCUAUCCUGAAUGGACCGACUGUAUCUAAUCCCCAUACUGCAAACGGCCAAACAAGAGGGAUUGUCUUCAACGCAGAUGUUGGUUUGUGGGACUUGUUAGAGUAGAACUGUCAUCCUUCACAUCGGUCGACCAUAUCUUUCUCCAUUUCAUUCGCGUGCAGCCAAAAGAAGCCAGCUCUGAAUGCUUUGGCGACGAUUGCCCUUGAGGAGGUGUGAUGACCGCAGGUUUCCGAGUGAAUUUCUUCCAGGAUUAACUAUCCCUCCUCAGGGGAGAUGCAUUGUUGAAGGACGCCUGAAACGCUUUCUUUGUACAACUGGCCAUCAAUGACAGUGAUCACAACGCCAGCGUCGGAGCCAUUCAACAUCUUGGACCCAUCGAAGAACAUUGUCCAAUGAGCCGAGUAGAUGUGGGUCGGUUGCUGUUGUUCUACCCAUUCUACUAUGAAGUCAGCCAGAGCUUGAGACUUUAUAGCUUUCUUGGCCUCGAACCUGAUGUCGCAGUAUAACAUCUCCAUUGCCCAUUUCGCCACUCGGCCCGAUGCGUCCCGAUUGUGUAGGAUUUCCGACAACGGAGCAUCAGAAACGACGGACACCGAGUGGUCUUGAAAAUAAUGAGCCACCUUCUUCGCAGUCAUGUAAAUCCCGUAGAUAAGUUUUUGAUAAUGGGGAUACCUCUGCUUGGAAGGAGUCAGGACUUCGGAGACAUAAUACACUGGCCGCUGAACCUUGUAUGCUUUGCCUUCUUCUUCCCGUUCGACUGUGAGAACAGUGCNNNNNNNNNNNNNNNNNNNNNNNNNNNNNNNNNNNNNNNNNNNNNNNNNNNNNNNNNNNNNNNNNNNNNNNNNNNNNNNNNNNNNNNNNNNNNNNNNNNNUAACACAUUGAUCGGACAUGUCAAUCAUCACAAUGCUAUUUCUCGCCAUUUGUGAGUCGUAAAUUUCCUAGCCUACAACGCAACGGCCGUUACUGGGUGGACCCAGGAUUGCGUAACACAUUGAUCGGACAUGUCAAUCAUCACAAUGCUAUUUCUCGCCANNNNNNNNNNAUCAAAAACGCUGGUGUUAGCGGACCCAGGAUUGCAUAACACAUUGAUCGGACAUGUCAAUCAUCACAAUGCUAUUUCUCGCCAUUUGUGAGUCGUAAAUUUCCUAGCCUACAGCGCCACGGCCACUACUGGGCGGACCCAAUAAUGCAGUUGUACGUGAGUUUUUUUCUGUGUUUUUCAAUGUUCUGCAUAGAUUAUAUACACAAUGAACAUGUCGAAUAUAUUAAAUGACUGUAUUGUCAUAAAUAUAUAUGUUUUUAAGGUCUAUUUUUUCAUACACAUUGUACAUUUUUUUUAGAUCUAAAAUAUAUUUUUAUACAUGUUAAACCUUAAAAAAAUGCAUGAUUGUCAUUUUUCCAAAUACUGUUUGAACAUUGUUUAGAAUAGGUGUCAAUUUUUUUAAAUGCAUGUCCCAAACAUGUUUUUUUCAAUGUUAUGAAAGACUUGAGCAUUUUUUAAAUGUCUCAUCUUGAAUCUGAUGGACCUAAGAGUAAUAUAUUGCUUAGUCACUUGCUGCAAUCACACCAGUUAUCCUUUACCACGCUUACAAGUAUUAUUUUUUAAUACAGAAUACUGUAAAGGAGACACCUAUAGUGGAAUUGGUGCAACAAACUCAAAUUACAAAUACCGUGUCUAGAAUCUGCAUGUGUGGGAAGGCAUCAACCCCUUUUUACCACUAGGCUAUGCCUUAGUAUGCACCUAUAAGUAUUAUUAAUUCUAGUACAAUUGAUAAUGAGACAUGCUAAGUACCCAUAGUACUCACCCUUGACACAACAACAACAACAAUAACAAGUACAUGUUAGGCCUUGUACAAUGCAAGUUGCUUGAGAAAAUAAAUCAGCUUUUUUUUAAGCACCAAUGCUUAUUUGUAUAGGAAAGACGCCUAAUUAAGCGUCUAUCUUGUAUGAAUAAGCACCCAUGCCUACAGAAACAUUGGUUUCUAAUUAAGCACCGAUGCUUAACAACAUAUGUUUUAUUGUCUCGUCAUGAGCACAACAGCAACACUGCUUACUUCCUCGCCAGUUGCACCAUACAAGAUUGGCUUUGGUUAGCACAACUCUCCUAUGAAGAUAACAAAUGAAGAUAUUAACUUUUAGAGGAAUCUUCGACUUCUAAAUUUUCUUGUUAUUACGCACUAGUAUCUCAUAAUGUGUGAGCACACGAUACAUAGAGUCUAUAGUGAAAGACCCCGAUGUAAUAAGGUUCUAGCAAAAAAACAUCUCGACCUUGUGUUAUGUUAAGCAAAUCCAGACGGGAUAAAAGAUUAUGCCAUGACAUAAUUCAGGGGCCAAUCAAAUCCCCGCCUGAACGAAAUAUUCGGUGGGGAUGAACUGAGCACAUGGAUAAUUGUAUUAUUCUUAUCGCAAGGAAUGGUUUAUAAUGUUGGGUAUUGUUCUCGGAGACUAGCAUUGCCUAGCCAUAUGUCUUCCCAUAAAUGAAUCUUUGACCCGUCCUUUAUCACAAAAGAGUCAAAGCGAAAGAGUUGCUUCUUUGUCGUCAUUAGGCCAGCCAAAAAGUGUCAUUUGAUCUAGAUACUUGUGGCACAACAUGGUUUCCCAAACAUCAUCCUCAGUAAGAAGUUUGAACAAUCAUUUACUAUUGAGGACCACCUGCUUGACUUCUAGAUCAUGAAUACCAGGGCCACAUUUAUCUCUCGGUCUACAAACCAUGCUCUAUUUGAUCAGUCUGUAUUUUUUCUUUUCAUCGUUUCCUUAUCAAAAAAAUCUGGAUCUAAAAUAGUUAAGUCUUUGCGGCACCCCUUUUGAAAGAUGGAAAAAAGAAAGCAUAUAGACAACCAUAUUUGUGACGACAGAGUUAAUCAGAACCAGACAUGCUCCAACUAUGAGAUCUUGCCUUUUCAAUUGCUCCACCGUUUCUCUAUAUGCUCAUCUACAUGUUUGCACUCCGUAAUGUUGAGACGCCGAUAGUGAAUCGGUAUUUUCAGAUAUUUAAUCAGGAAUUAGUCAUUUCUGUAACCAAACAAGUUAGCAUAAUCGACAACUUCCUCGACAACAUCUCCAAAGAAUAAAAUUUCGCUUUUUUGAAAGUUAAUUUUAAGACCUGACAUUUGCUCAAACACUGAAAGUAAGAGUUUCAUGUUUCAAGCCUUGUUCAGGGCAUGUUUCAUAAAAAUAAUUGUGGCAUUGGCAUGUUGCAGACUAGAGAGGCCACCAUCCAAGGUAUGGCACUAUUUAUGCAAUCUGACUGUCCUGCUUCACACUCUCAAUCAAAAUAGCCAACAUGUCAAUAACAAUAUUAAAUAACAUUGGAGACAUGAGGUCACCCUGUUGUAGUCUUUUUUGUCUGAAAGUAAUGGCCAACAUCAUCAUCGGUUUUGAUGGCCACACUACCUUUAGUUAAAAAAAAAUGGAUCCAAGGAGUAAACGGUUCAUAUAGACAACACACACAUGUUAGUUCGAAUCUGAAAUCAACAUCACGUACCCACCAUAUAGAUACCUAACGAAAUCACUAGUUAGAGAAUGCACCUUCCAACGAUUAAUCCCACCUUCACAGGUUGUGACAAUUGGUGCACUGCAUGCGUGUCACUUAUCGCAACCUUAGAGUUUUCCUUUUUUUCGUAGAUCCGUAUUUUCAAAACGUUUUAUCUCCUAAACUGUGCGUUCAAAUCUCGAACCGUUUUCACCAUUGGCUUUCUCGCGUCGAGAUCUUUAAAACUAGAUCUCAUAUUGAUAGGUUUUGACGAACUUUUUUUCCAUGAAAAAACCGGAAGAAAAAAACCGGAGGAAAAAACCGUGCCUCACGUGAUAGAAAAAGAAAACAGAAAACACUGUUUUUUUCCUUUUCGAGAGGGACGGGUAGUGCCUCUCGCGAAGACAAAAUUGUGCCUCUCGCAGAAGCGAAACCGUGCCUCUCGAGGAAAAAAAGAGCAGAAAACGCGUUUUCCCCUUUUCGGGAGAGGCGGGGGCGUGCCUCUCGCAAAGGCAAAACCGUGCCUUUCACGGAAGCAAAACCGUGCCUCUCGCAAAAGAAAAAAAAACAGAAAACGCGUUUUUUUUUCUUUCGGGAGAGGUACGAAGGCAAAACCGUGCCAUUCGCGGAAGCAAAAAACCGUGCCUCUCGUAAACAAACAGAAAACACGUUUUUUUCCUUUCCGAAAGGCACGGGCGUGCCUCUCGCGAAGGCAAAACCGUGCCUUUCGUGAAAGCAAAACCAUGCCUCUCGCAAAAAAAAUGAAAAACGUGUUUUUUUCCUUUUCGAGAGGCACGGCUCGCGAACACAAAACCAUGCCUCUUGCUGAAGCAAAACCGUGCCUCUCGCAAAAAAAUAGAAAACGAGUUUUUUCGCGUAAAAAAAACGUUUUUUCACAAAAAAAAUGAUUUUUUUCGUGCAAAAGUUACAAAAGACCGGUGAAAAACCAUAACACCAAUUUUUUUUGAAAGAAACACUCAAAAAAGGCGAAAGCGUGUGUGAAAAAAUAAAAUAAAAAAUCCAGAAGGAACGAUUAGAGCGGGAUACGUGACGACGGCUGGAAAUGCGACAAGUGGGCAGCGCACGGGAGUGGUCGCUAGAACGCUCGCAAGGGAGCACUUGCGAACUAGUGGCUCCCGCGACCUAUGCACUAAAUAGGAGAUGUCUGGUAUACAUAACUUAGGUCUCAUGUCCUCACAUGUUAAAAAAAAUUAGAAUCGUGUAUUUCUUUGUCUCCAAAAAAAAUAAAAUAAAAUAAAUAAUGAGAAUUUGAGUUAGGUCCUCCUGAUCAGGUUAUAUUGGAUGAACUACAUCCACAUGUAACGACUCGUGAGUUAAUGUGAUGAUGCCAAGUAUGACAGAAAUGCAUAUCUAAGUGCUUACUGACAAAAUGUACUUAUCUAUUAUUUUACUAUUUUUUCUGGGAUGAAGGACGAAAAUAUUUGAAGGAUGAAGGAUAAAUACUCCAGCACGAACAAUUGCAAUAGAACAUAAUGACCUGCUAUUUGGAGGACCAUUUUUUAGAAAACAAUAAACGCUCACUUGUUAGAAUUGGUGGUAGUAUAUUGUAUAUGUAGUACAUAAAAUGGAUUUUAAAUGUGCUUGAAAUCAGAGAUUAAAUUUGGCGUCCAAUAAACGACACCAAAGGAUAAAAAGGAAUGUAGUAUAUUGUAUGUAUAUGUGACAAUUAGGGAAAUUCAUAUUAAAGAUUUCUUAAACUGGUCCGUGGUAGAAAGAGAGAACUAGUUCAUGCCUAGUUUGAGAUAUAGUACAUGUAUGGAUUAAAACAAGAGCUAAAGUAGUGUAAUAAUAAUCACAAGGAAACAUCAGCACGUACAAAAGAAAAUAUAGGAUAUGAUAAUAGCCAUAGGAACUCAUUUAGGAAUUAUAUGAUAUAUGAACAGGUAGAAGCAUAAUUAAGAAUAUAAUUACUUCCCUCGCAAAAAAAGAAUAUAAUUACUUGCCUGGUCGACAAUUUAGCUAACUCCCUACAAGCCUCUAUAUAAGAAGAGGUAGUUCAAUUCCAGUCAUACAAACAAAUAAAGUCUUAUACAACGAAAGCACAUGAUGGCGCUAGCCGAUAACAGAAACCUUAGUUCUUGGGCUGCCAUAUUCGCCGUUGCUCUUCUAGUCAUGGCUACGGUUUCUUUCUACGAAGGAGUGUCAGGUUAGUGCACUAAGUCAUGCAAGUAUAUACUUUUAGAUGGAUUGUAUGCUAACGAUAUCGCUCAUUUGUGAAUAUGAAUGUAUGUGUAGAUGAAGUGAUGAGCCAUACCACUGGAAAUACAUGUGUGGCUGACUAUGAAUGUGAUCUGGCAUCGUGUGAAGCUAGGUGCCGGAACAUGAAGAUGGACCCAAGUGCAGCCUGCUGUGAGAUAAAGGCUGGAUUAGUUCCCUAUUGUUGUUGCGCCCACGACUACACGGGGCACAUCAGAUAUGAAAAUAAUGGAAAAUGAUCUUAAACCAUAAUUCAUGUAUCCUUCUGCAUGAUUGGUUAAUAAGAAUGAUAAGCCGAGAUUGCAUGGCCACAUAUUUGAAGUACUCUGUUUCUUUGACCAUGUGUGUUUGUUACAAAUUGAUAUAUAGUUUCAAUCAGAUUCAAAUAUUAUAUCCCGCACAUGUUUUCUAUGUUUGGAUUUCCUAAUGGACUCAACUUACCGUAAGACGCUUGGUUUGUUGUUGAAAAGGUCGGUUUGGAUUGAAGAAGAGGUAGCUAAAAAGUGCUACAUCCGUCCUAAAAUAAGUGACUCAACUUUGUACUAAAGUUAGUGCAAAGUUGAGUCAUUUUUGAGUCACUUAUUUUGGAAAGGAGGAAGUAUCAUGUAGUUUUCACAAAAAAUGUAUCAUGUACUCCCUCUGUAAAGAAAUAUAAGAGUAAAACACCAAACACUCUUAUAUUACUUUAAAGAGGGAGUAGUAAAUUGUGGAGUAGAUCUCAAUGUUAAUUAUCGAUAGUGGAAUUACAGAGGCUAGAAAUAAACACGAGUAAAAGGCGCUGGCGGUCUGAGAACUUGUGUUGCGGGUGCACCUAAGUCCCACUACUUGCAAACCGAAAAAACCCGUUACAGAACUUGCGUUUCGGGCUUAUCUAGGUCACAACCGCCAGUUAGACCGGUCCGCUGCCCGGUUUUCUUCGUUCGCGGUCAUGCGAGGCUCACGUGUGAGGUGAUUUUUGCACAGAAGACCCUAGUCGGUUUGCUAAUUAAUCACUUGGGACGUCCCUGCCUUAGGACACAUGAGGGAGGCGACAGGCGGCCGCGGUGCUGGUGCGUCGAGCUCGUCGNNNNNNNNNNCUGGACCGGUCCGCUGCCCGGUUUUCUUUGUUCGCGGUCACGCGAGGCUCACGUGUGAGGUGAUUUUUGCACAGAAGACCCUGAACGGUUUGCUAAUCACUUGGGGACGUCCCUACCUUAGGACAGAUGAGGGAGGCGACAGGCGGCCGCGGUGCUGGUGCGUCGAGCUCGUCGGCGGCAAGUAAUGACCUGAUGGAGGUGAUGGAGAGGCUGCCGAAGUUGAGGACAGAAGAGGUUGGCCAGCCGAUCUACGGUUAGUUCUACAGAGCUAACGUUGAAUCCAGGCUCCAGAUCUGCCUGACGUUGAAUCCAGGCUCCAGAUCACAACGUCAGGCAGAUCUGGAGCCUGGAUUCAACGUCAGGCAGAUCUAGAGCCUGGAUUCAACGUUAGCUCUGUAGAACUAACCAUAGAUCGGCUGGCCAACCUCUUGUGUCCUCAACUUCGGCAACAUGUCCAUCACCUCCAUCAGGUCAUUACUUGCCGCCGACGAGCUCGACGCACCAGCACCGCGGCCGCCUGUCGCCUCCCUCAUNNNNNNNNNNNNNNNNNNNNNNNNNNNNNNNNNNNNNNNNNNNNNNNNNNNNNNNNNNNNNNNNNNNNNNNNNNNNNNNNNNNNNNNNNNNNNNNNNNNNUGCUAGUAAUAUAUUGUAACAUAUAAUAUAUUUAGAAUUAAGCCUGCUGCCUAGUUAGAGGACACCACGUAGGAAGGUAACACUCAUACGGUCAUACCUUCUGCUUUGUAGACACGAUCGUUUAGCAGUUNNNNNNNNNNAGUGCUUGCAAUAUAUUAUAACAUAGUAUAAUAUAUCUAGAAUUAACUCUGCUGCCUAGUUAGAGGAUACCACUUAGGAAGGUAACGCUCAUACGGUCAUACCUUCUGCUUUGUAGACACGAUCGUUUAGCAGUUUUGCAAGUUCAUCUCUUAAAUUGAUUGGACGUUUGCAAGAUGUUUUCAGUAACUUGAAAAAUAUAUCAUGCUUGGUAUUUAUGCAUCUACAAAAAAAUUAUCCAUCAUUUCUCCUGCUCAUUAAUCCAAAAUAUGUUCCAGGCAAUGCAAGACCAACAUCCACAAGGAGACAUGUCAAAAUAGAGUGCCCUGAUUUUUUUUCCUGAAUGGGUCCAUGCUACAUUCAUGUGAUGUUCCGUUGAACUGCAAAGAGUAUUGACCUGGGAAAAAACAUGUCAAUGUAUGUAUUUUCUUUGACCUGAAAAAACNNNNNNNNNNUCCUGAUUUUUUUUUCCUGAAUGGGUCCAUGCUACAUUAAUUCAUGUGAUGUUCCGUUGAACUGCAAAGAGUAUGUAUUUUCUCUUAUUUUCUUUGACCUGGCUACUGGGAAAAAACAUGUCAAUGUAUGUAUUUUCUUUGACCUGAAAAAACGUCUUGAUGUAUGUAUUUUCAAAUGGUGGUCCAGUUCUGUAUCUCGCCAUCGAAUAUUUUGUUGUUUCGAGUAACACUAAAAUAUGUUUCUGGUUUUGGAUAUUGAAUUUCCGACAGUCCAUAAAUUACUGAGUUCCUGAGGGAAAACUGGGGAGUGAAGAACAAUAUUUUUUUCUGUGUCCAUAAAUGUCCCUAUCCUGUGAUGAUCUAAUAUUUNNNNNNNNNNAGUUUUGGAUAUUGAAUUUCCGACAGUCCAUAAAUUACCGAGUUCUUGAGGGAAAACUGGGGAGUGAAGAACAAUAUUUUUUCUGUGUCCAUAAAUGUCCCUAUCCUGUGAUGAUCUAAUAUUUGCCAUCUUGAUACUUGUACAUAGAUGAGUUGGUAGAAGAUAUAAUAAGCCUUGUAUACUGUUUCUUUCUACAUGUCUUCGCUAAAUUCUAUUAGUUCACCAAACACAGUUCCUCUUUGUUGUGCCUGCUUAUUGAAUCAAUAGCUCAGUACAAAUAAAAAAUGCUCUUUCGGGCUUUUAGAACAAAUCGUCAUUGUGUAACCAACAGCAUAAUAUGCGCGUUUUAGUACAUGAAAUCACCUGAAAACUAUUUCUUGCUUGACGGGUUUAACUAAANNNNNNNNNNNNNNNNNNNNNNNNNNNNNNNNNNNNNNNNNNNNNNNNNNNNNNNNNNNNNNNNNNNNNNNNNNNNNNNNNNNNNNNNNNNNNNNNNNNNUUCACCCCCUUAAACAAGGCAUUCACUUUGUUCCCUACCUGGAUCCUAAAUGCGACUACUUGUGGUCUUCAUCCUGGGCGUUGUCUCCAUCGUUCCUUGUAGACUCCCAGUCACUGCGUUUGCUAUCGUCGGCUCAUUCGUAGCUUGACGACAACACUCCUUCUUAGUCGCAUCUUCAAUCUUUACCUCUUCUUCGGUGCUUUGUAGACUGUCCUUCGAACCAUCGAGGGCACAUCUUUUGAACCCGAGCGUGACCAUACUUUGGUCUAACUUUGAAUUCCAAGCUCUUGGCGCUUGCUUCAACCCGUAAAGUGCCUUCUUGAGCUUGUAAACUUUCCCUUCUUCGCCUUUCUUCUCGUAGCCGAGGGGUUGUUCCACGUACACUUCUUCUGUGAGAUCGCCGUUGAGGAAAGCGAAUUUAACAUCCAUAUGAUGAACCUUCCAAUCCUCUUGUGCUGCCAAAGCUAGGAGCACUCUCACUGUCUCGAGUCGAGCAACCGGUGCAAACACCUCAUCAUAGUCAACUCCUUGACGUUGUACGUAACCCUUUGCAACGAGUCUUGCCUUGUACCUCACAAUGGCACCCUCCGUGUCCUUCUUUAACUUGUAAACCCACUUCAAACCUAUCGUCUUUUGGUUUGGAGGUCGGGUUACCAAAGUCCACGUGCCAUUGCUCUCAAUCGCCUUCAUCUCCUCAUCCAUGGCGUGCGUCCAGCUAGGACUUUUGCUCGCCUCUACGAAGUUCGCCGGCUCCUCAACUCCGAACAGACAUAGUCUGGAGUACUCGAGCGUAACUGGCUUUGUGUACUUGUAGACUUUCUUGAGGGUCUUGUAGCGACGAGGCUCUGAGGAGUCCGUUGUGCCUUGCGAAGGAGGCGACACAAAUUGUAUCGGCGUUGAUGCACUUGAGGAAGAUGGCUGAGACCCUGAUGUGUCAUCGACAUCCGUGUCGUCGGCAUAGUCGUCGUGAUCAUGACCAUCAUCUUGAUUGUCAUCGUCACUAUGCGCCUCGUUGUCUAUGUUGUCGUCGAGAUCUCCACCCGUGCCGUGCGCUUUGUUGUCGCUAUCUCCUUGCGACCUAUGCACGUCGUCGUCGGUGUCGGCACCAUGAUGAUCACUACCAUUGUGGCCACCUUGGUUCGGCGUCUUGCCAACCACCUGGACAUCUUCUCCUGCAUCAUCGUCAGUUGGAAAUUCAACUGCAAAUAUGUUACUGUUUGGAGCAUCGUCGGCUGCGGCGCUCCAAUUCCACGCUUGGUUUUCUUCAAACACGACGUCGCGUGAAAUCCGUAGACGCUUGGUUUGUGGAUCGUAGAAACGGUAUGCCUUGGUGCCGGAACUCCUCUUGUAUCCGAUGAACACCAUCUUGGUGCUACGAUCGGCAAGCUUUGAGAGAUGCGGCUCCGCCGUCUUCACAUGUGCCACACACCCGAACGUCCGUAGAUGAGACACAUUCGGCUUACGUCCGUAAAUUGCUUCAUACGGAGUCUUGCCGACGACCGCCUUCGUUGGAGCCCGGUUGAGAAGAUAGACCGCCGUCGAGACAGCUUCUCCCCAAAAAGUCCCCGGCAGGUUCUUGCUCUUGAGUAAACUCCUUGCCAUGUCAACGACGGUUCGAUUGCGCCUAUCAACGACCCCGUUCUGCUGCGGCGUGUAAGGUGCCGUGAGGAACCUCUUUAUGCCAAUCUUCUCGCAGUAGUCGUUGAACUCAUUCGACGUAAACUCUCCGCCGUGAUCUGUCCGUAGAGCGCGAACCUUCAACUUGUGUUCCAUCUCCGUUGCAGCCUUCAGCUUCUUGAAUGCUUCAAACGUCUCAUCUUUAGACCGUAGGAGAACGACCCACAUGUAUCUCGAGUAGUCAUCUACCACAAGGAAGAAGUACUUCUUUCCUCCGUGAGUUGCCGGGGUGAUAGGGCCACAUAGAUCACCAUGGAGCAGCUCGAGUGCAUCACUUGCACAAUACGUAGACUGAGCAGGGAACGGCCUGCGGUGCUGUUUUCCAACCAAGCACCCGUCACAUACUCGAUCAACAUGGUCGAUAACUGGCAUCCCUGGUACCAUCUCCAUAUUUGACAUCUUCUUCAAGGCGUAGAAGUUAACAUGUCCAAAUCUAGCAUGCCAUAACCACGAAUCAUCAUCACUCUUGGCGAGCCAACACUCCGGUUGAGAUUGAUCAAGGUUGAGGAUAUAGAUCCUGUUCCGUGUGCGACUAACACGAGUUAGCACGUUCCGGAGGUUGUCGAAGAUCGUCAUCACUCCGUUCUCAAUAUCCACCUUGCAUCCAUUCUCGUCAAGCUUCCCGAUAGGGAUGAUGUUGUUGCGAAGCCGUGGGAUGUAGUACACUCCGGUGAGUAUGCGAUGUUCGCCUGUGAGACCCUCGAAGAGGAUAGAUCCUUGCCCACAAAUCUCCACAUUUGAACCAUCACCAAACUUGACCGAGCCUUCAACAUCAUAUUCGAGCUCGACAAAUUUCUCCUUGCAUCCCGGCAUGUGGUUACUGGCACCGUGUCGAGAUACCACGACACGUUGUGAUUCCCGGAUAACUUAGGUGUCACAUUCUUCUCAUGAAGUAGCACCUUCCGGCUUGGUUUCACAACCACUGUUUCAGCGAGAUCACCAACUUUGGCCAUCCGAAGACCUGGACCUUCGUCUUCCUCCUUUGCCAAAUUUGUCUUGAUCUCCCGCUUGUCAGGCUCCGGACAAUUCUUUGCAAAGUGACCCAUCUCGUUGCAGUUAUAGCACUUGACCUCAGACAUAUCCAAGUUUCGUUGCUUUCGCCCUUUAGAUCGGUCUGCCUUACCACGACCUUGUGGUUUGCCUUUUUCUUUUCCUUCUCCGGUUUGUCCGCCGCGCGUUGCUUGAGCCUUCGUUGCCAUCACGCCUUCCUUUGCUACUUGGGGACUCCCAAUCUGCACGCGAGUGCAUGAGUUGGUCACUACCUCCUCCGUUGUCUUUUCGACAGCCACAAGCAUUCUCUUCCCACGUCCGCAGGCGUCCAAUCGCCUCCGUUAUGGUCAUGUCGUCGAUGUCGUAAAGCUGCUNNNNNNNNNNGAAAUUUCUCCUUGCAUCCCGUCAUGUGGUUACUGACACCCAUGUCGAGAUACCACGACACGUUGUGAUCCCCGGAUAACUUAGGUGUCACAUUCUUCUGAUGAAGUAGCAUCUUCCGGCUUGGUUUCACAACCACUGUUUUAGCGAGAUCACAAACUUCGGCCAUCAGAAGACCUGGACCUUCGUCUUCCUCCUUUGCCAAAUUUGCCUUGAUCUCCCGCUUGUCAGGCUCCGGACAAUUCUUUGCAAAGUGACCCAUCUCGUUGCAGUUAUAGCACUUGACCUCAGACAUAUCCAAGUUCCGUUGCUUCCGCCCUUUAGAUCGGUCUGCCUUACCAGGACCUUGUGGUUUGCCUUUUCCUUUGCCUUCUCCAGUUUGUCCGCCGCGCGUUGCGUUGCUUGAGCCUUCGUUGCCAUCACGCCUUCCUUUGCUACUUGGGGACUCCCAAUCUGCACGCGAGUACAUGAGUUGGUCACUACCUCCUCCGUUGCCUUUUCGACAGCCAUGAGCAUUCUCUUCCCACGUCCGCAGGUGUCCAAUCGCCUCCGUUAUGGUCAUGUCGUCGAUGUCGUAAAGCUGCUCGAGCGUGCCGAUGAUGUACGUGAAUUUUUCAGUCACUGAACUGAAAAAUUUCUCCACAAUCUCGGUCUCCUCGAGCUUUGCACCAAGCGCGCGGAUCUCUCCCACCAAAGUAGUAAGACACAUGGCAUAGUCGUUCACCGAUUCAGUUUCCUCCAUCUGCAACUUGUGAAAUUGGCGCUUCAGCACUUGUGCCCGAGCCUUGGUGACGCGAUCUUCUCCGAUCCUCAUCUCCUUGAGUGGGCGGUGAAGAUGAAGAUUAUUCUUUGACAUCUUCUUCAAGGCGUAGAAGUUAACAUGUCCAAAUCUAGCANNNNNNNNNNNNNNNNNNNNNNNNNNNNNNNNNNNNNNNNNNNNNNNNNNNNNNNNNNNNNNNNNNNNNNNNNNNNNNNNNNNNNNNNNNNNNNNNNNNNAGCAGGGCUCCGCCCGAGCUCCGCAGAAACGCGAUCUAGAGGAAAAACUAUGGAGGUAUGUGGUCGGGCAGCCGUGAGAAAGUCGUCUCAAAUCAGCCCUAAUUGCUCCAUAUAUAUAGGAGGAGGGAGGGGGACCUUGCCUUGGGGUCCAAGGGACCCUCAAGGGGUCGGCCGAGCCAAGGGGGGGAGGACUCCCCCCCCCAAACCGAGUUGGACUUGGUUUGGUGGGAGGAGUUCCCCUCCCUUCCCACUUCCUCCCUCUUUUUUUUUUCUUUUCCUUUGAUUUCUUUUUCUUCGCGCAUAGGCCCCCUUGGGGCUGUCCCACCAGCCCACUAAGGGCUGGUGUGACUCCCCAAAGCCUAUGGGCUUCUCCGGGGUGGGUUGCCCCCCCCCCCCCCNNNNNNNNNNNNNNNNNNNNNNNNNNNNNNNNNNNNNNNNNNNNNNNNNNNNNNNNNNNNNNNNNNNNNNNNNNNNNNNNNNNNNNNNNNNNNNNNNNNNNNNNNNNNNNNNNNNNNNNNNNNNNNNNNNNNNNNACAUUCCCGGUAACUCCGAAAACCUUCCGGUAAUCAAAUGAGGUCAUCCUAUAUAUCAAUCUUCGUUUCCGAACCAUUCCGGAAACCCUCGUGACGUCCGUGAUCUCAUCCGGGACUCCGAACAACAUUCGGUAACCAACCAUNNNNNNNNNNNNNNNNNNNNNNNNNNNNNNNNNNNNNNNNNNNNNNNNNNNNNNNNNNNNNNNNNNNNNNNNNNNNNNNNNNNNNNNNNNNNNNNNNNNNAAUAAACACUAACACACCACUAACUAUGUGAUCCCUGUCUCUCUCUCCUAGAAUCACCCCUGUAUGCGCAAACCUAGCAAACAUGCAAACACACGCACGAAGCUACUCCCUCUUUAUCUAAAUACUUAUAGUUGAAAAAAACUAGUCUAGUUCUCCGCAACUACAAGUAUUUAAAUAUAGAGGGAGUAGCUAACAACCUCAUACACAGCUAGCUAGCACACGGGCUCUCUCGGUCAGCACUUCUACCAACCGUUUAUCUUGAGCACUUACACUGCAUAGUUAUAUUAAUAUUGGUGCUAACAUAGUUUAUAUUGUGAGAAAUCAGUUGGUAAGUAGGCAUGCUAACUAUCCUGUGUUGGGUAACGUAGCGAAAAUUCAAAAUUUUCCUACGCCAUAUUCAAAUGUUCCUAUGAAGAGACCAGCAACGAGAGAGGGGUGAGAGCAUCUUCAUACCUUUGAAGAUCGCUAAGCGGAAGCGUUGCUAGAACGCGGUUGAUGGUGUCGUACUCGCUGUGAUUCAGAUCACGGUGUGAUUCCGAUUUAGUGCCGAACCACGGCACCUCCGCGUUCAACACACGUGCAGUCCGGUGACGUCUCCCGCACCUUGAUCCAGCAAGGAGGAGGGAGAGGUUGGGGAAGAGCUCCGGCAGCACGACGACGUGGUGGCGAUGGAGCGAUGAGGUCUCCCGGCAGGGCUUCGCCAAGCACCAUGGGAGAGGAGGAAGAAGAGAGACACGGCUGCGCCGAGAGAGAGAAAAAUUCGCGUAUCUCCAAUGGCCAAAAACCCCACUAUAUAUAGGGGGAAGGGGAGGGUGGCGCCCCCCUUAGGGUUCUCACCCCUAAGGGGUGCGGCAGCCCUAUAUGGGGGGAGGAGGUGGCGGCCAGGAGGGGAGGAGGGGUUGGCGCACCCCCUGCUGGGCCUUAGGCCCACCAGCGCUAGGGUUUCCCCCUUUUCCCUCUCUUGGGCGCCUUGGGUUGGGUGUGGGGGGCGCACCAUCCCCCCCAGGGGCUGGUUCCCUCUCACACUUGACCCAUGUAGCCUCCUGGGGCUUGUGGCCCCUCCCGGUGGGCCUCCGGAACCCUUCCGGUGGUCUCGACACUUUGCCAGUGGUGCCUGAAACAUUUCCGGCGUUCAAACCCAUCCAUCCUAUAUGUCUUUACCUCCGGACUAUUCCGGAGCUCCUCGUGACGUCCGGGAUCUCAUCCGGGACUUCGAACAACCUUCGGUAACCUCCUAUAACAAUUCCCUAUAACCCCAACGUCAUCGAACCUUAAGUGUGUAGGCCCUACGGAUUCGGGAGGCAUGCAGACAUGACCGAGACACCUCUCCGGCCAGUGACCAUCANNNNNNNNNNNNNNNNNNNNNNNNNNNNNNNNNNNNNNNNNNNNNNNNNNNNNNNNNNNNNNNNNNNNNNNNNNNNNNNNNNNNNNNNNNNNNNNNNNNNAGUCGCAAACCGGAUACGUAUUUAUUCUUAAUGGGGGUGCAGUAAGCUGGUGCAGUUCCAAGCAAAGCGUCGUAGCAGAUUCUACAUGUGAAGCAGAGUACAUGGCUGCCUCGGAGGCGGCUAAGGAGGGUGUCUGGAUGAAGCAGUUCAUGACGGAUCUUGGAGUGGUGCCAAGUGCACUGGAUCCAAUAACCUUGUUCUGUGACAACACUGGUGCCAUUGCCUUAGCAAAGGAGCCAAGGUUUCACAAGAAAACCAGACACAUCAAACGACGCUUCAACCUCAUCCGCGACUACGUCGAGGAGGAGGAUGUAAAUAUAUGCAAAGUGCACACGGAUCUGAAUGUAGCAGACCCGCUGACUAAACCUCUUCCACGGCCAAAACAUGAUCGACACCAGAACUGUAUGGGUGUUAGAUUUAUUACAAUGUAAUUCACAUGGUGAUGUGAAGGCUAGAUUAUUGACUCUAGUGCAAGUGGGAGACUGUUGGAAUUAUGCCCUAGAGGCAAUAAUAAAUGUAUAGUUNNNNNNNNNNNNNNNNNNNNNNNNNNNNNNNNNNNNNNNNNNNNNNNNNNNNNNNNNNNNNNNNNNNNNNNNNNNNNNNNNNNNNNNNNNNNNNNNNNNNGAAAUCUCUUUGUAAGAGAUGAGUUCUCGUUCGAAACCCUGCUACUUCGAGAGAGAUUGUCAGUUUUGUACACGAACUGCAUCCAGUUUUUGUCGUAGCCCUCUCAACUUUUUAACACAUGAUAUGUGGAUGAAAUGAUGAUAGCAUGCCAACUUUCAACAUUUUCAGAGUUCAUUUGUAGUGCUUUUCAAUUUCAGGGUCAACUAGCUCAAAAAAAAUAAGUAAAUGCACAAAAUAUACCAAGUGAAGUCAGAAAUUGUUGAAAUUUUGUGGUGUGCCUUUGAAUGGUGCAUUUUGAACACACAAAAAGUAUGGAGUUCAAAUAAGUUCAAAAAAAUGAAAUCCCUUUGUAAGAGAUGAGUUCUCGUUCGAAACCCUGCUACUUCGAUAGAUAAUAGUUUGGAUUGUCAAAAUUAUUGAUUAUGAAAAUAAAAAAUAGUUUUGCAUUAUUUAUUCAAUUUGAAACACUUUUCAUUAUCAUAGUUUUGUCAAAUUCUCAAAUAUGCAAAAAGAAUUUUUAAUAAACAUAGUUUUUAAUUGAAAAUAACAAAAUAGAUAAUAGUUUGGACAGUCAAAAUUAUUCAUUAUGAAAAUAAAAAAUAGUUUUGCAUUAUUUAUUCAAUUUGAAACACUUUUCAUUAUCAUAGUUUUGUCAAAUUCUCAAAUAUGCAAAAAGAAUUUUUAAUAAACAUAGUUUUUAAUGGAAAAUAACAAAAUAAGUUAAUAGUUUGGAUAGUCAAAAUAAUUAAUUUUGAAAAUUGGAAAAAAAAGAAUUUAUAUGAGAAAUCAUGGACAAAAUUCAACCUGAAUUCACUUUGAAUUCAGAUUGAAUUUUCUCCACAAUUUUGAACAUAGUUUCAAUUUUCAGUAAGAUUAGGCAUGUAAGCCUGCUUUAGAGAGGAGCUCGAUGGACAAGCUGCGAUGGGGCUUAUAAACAAGUGUUAGUCCCCCUCGCUGGGCGAGGUGGGACUAAAUUUAUCGUGCAGCCGAGGAGGGGCUUUAGUCCCGGGUGGAGCCACGCCCCGGGAAUAAAGACACCCUUUAGUCCCGGCUGGAGCCACGCACCGGGACUAAAGACCCCCUGCUUCCCGCCUCUUGGUCUGCCCGAAAAGAGGCCUUUAGUCCCGGGUCNNNNNNNNNNNNNNNNNNNNNNNNNNNNNNNNNNNNNNNNNNNNNNNNNNNNNNNNNNNNNNNNNNNNNNNNNNNNNNNNNNNNNNNNNNNNNNNNNNNNNNNNNNNNNNNNNNNNNNNNNNNNNNNNNNNNNNNNNNNNNNNNNNNNCUCGAGCCACGCACCGGGACUAUAGAUCCACCUAUAUAAGCGGGACUUCGAAAAUUUUCAACCCAAUUCGUCCAUUUCUCUUCUUCUUCCUCUCGUUCUCCUGCCCGGCGCGGCACAGCGACGAACUAACCGACGCCGUCAGGCUGCCCGCCGUCCUGCUCGCCGCCGCNNNNNNNNNNNNNNNNNNNNNNNNNNNNNNNNNNNNNNNNNNNNNNNNNNNNNNNNNNNNNNNNNNNNNNNNNNNNNNNNNNNNNNNNNNNNNNNNNNNNUUUAUGGACUGUCGGAAAUUCAAUAUCCAAAACUAGAAACAUAUUUUAGUGUUACUCGAAACAACAAAAUAUUCGAUGGCGAGAUACAGAACUGGACCACCAUUUGAAAAUACAUACAUCAAGACGUUUUUUCAGGUCAAAGAAAAUACAUACAUUGACAUGUUUUUUCCCAGUAGCCAGGUCAAAGAAAAUAAGAGAAAAUACAUACUCUUUGCAGUUCAACGGAACAUCACAUGAAUUAAUGUAGCAUGGACCCAUUCAGGAAAAAAAAAUCAGGACACUCUAUUUUGACAUGUCUCCUUGUGGAUGUUGGUCUUGCAUUGCCUNNNNNNNNNNGUCAAUACUCUUUGCAGUUCAACGGAACAUCACAUGAAUGUAGCAUGGACCCAUUCAGGAAAAAAAAUCAGGGCACUCUAUUUUGACAUGUCUCCUUGUGGAUGUUGGUCUUGCAUUGCCUGGAACAUAUUUUGGAAUAAUCAGCAGGAGAGAUGAUGGAUAAUUUUUUUGUAGAUGCAUAAAUACCAAGCAUGAUAUAUUUUUCAAGUUACUGAAAACAUCAUGCAAAUGUCGAAUCAAUUUAACAGAUGAACAUGCAGAGCUGCUAAACGAUCGUGUCUACAAAGAAGGUAUGACCGUAUGAGCGUUACCUUCCUAAGUGGUAUCCUCUAACUAGGCAGCAGAGUUAAUUCUAGAUAUAUUAUACUAUGUUAUAAUAUAUUGCAAGCACUCUCUGUCCCUGUUGCAUGUGGUGAUGUCAGCAGCAUAUCAUAGUUAGANNNNNNNNNNUUGCAAACGUCCAAUCAAUUUAAGAGAUGAACUUGCAAAACUGCUAAACGAUCGUGUCUACAAAGCAGAAGGUAUGACCGUAUGAGUGUUACCUUCCUACGUGGUGUCCUCUAACUAGGCAGCAGGCUUAAUUCUAAAUAUAUUAUAUGUUACAAUAUAUUACUAGCACUCUGUCCCUGUUGCAUGUGGUGAUGUCAGCAGCAUAUCAUAGUUAGANNNNNNNNNNGUCAGCAUCAUAUCAUAGUUAGAUCGUCCAUUAACCAAAUCAACACCACUCGUCUACCUGAUUAAAGUCGGCUGAUAUUAGCUAAUAAACAAAAACACACGAUUAUAUGCAAAAAGUUCCACGUCGGUGGCCACUAUACAAAAUUGUAGAAGCAUCCAGAGAUACUACACAUAAGAGUAUUCUCAGUGUCAACCAGAACACAUUCACAUCAUACAUAAUUGAAGAACCAACCAGCCCUUUUCCUUUGUUUCAGUCAACCCAUUUUGUAUUACUCUAAAAAAAAGAAAAUUUUGUAUGNNNNNNNNNNNNNNNNNNNNNNNNNNNNNNNNNNNNNNNNNNNNNNNNNNNNNNNNNNNNNNNNNNNNNNNNNNNNNNNNNNNNNNNNNNNNNNNNNNNNCCUCGAACCAAACGUCGCCACGAACCCGUGGCUCCGUCGGCUCCUCCAGCGGCCUCGAGUGCCCCGCCAGCUCCUCCUGUGGUUCCGAGUGACUUGCCAGCUACUCCCGUGGUUCCGAGUGCUCAGAGCACAAAGAGGACUAGGGACUCUGCUGCUGAGCCCGCGGGCCAGCCCUCUAAGGUGGCCAAACUGAGUGGAUCCAAGCCUCGGAAGGCUUUGCCGCGGAUGAGGAUCGCCGUUCCCGUCGCCUCAGCGUAAGUGCAUUGUUCUUCUAUCUUCUUCUAGUAUUUGAUUGAACUCAUGCUUAUCGGUCGAAUGAAUUUAACUUGACAGAGCUGCCACCUCCGCCACUUCUGUGCCGCGCCAGGAAGACGAUCCCAUGGAUACGGACAAUGUUGUCACGUCCCAGCAAGGUAUGUCGUGGCGACUCCGAGAGCUUACAUUAUUGUUUCGCAAAUUCCGUCUUUGGUCUUGCCCUUUUUUUUGUGGUCUCACGUCGUUUGGUCGGGCUUCCUUCAAAGGUGAUCCAUGUGGAGGACGAUGACCAGAAGAGGUCCGAGCAAGCUGUGGCGCGUGUCCUUGAGGCUGUUCCGUCUGUUACUACCCCCGCCAUGGACGCGCCGCCAACUGAGACGAUACCGUCGACUGACACGACGCUCAUCGUUGCUGAACCGACUGGAGCAGGACUUGGGAUGCCCAAGGAGUCUCUUGUGGUGCCAGGUCUUUCGACCGUCCAGUUCGACGCCCGGCGCCUUCCGGAGGAUCAGGUGGGAGCUGCCAAGGGGGCCAUGGUGCAGGCGGAGUUGAUGGCGGGUGAUGCCAAGAGAGCGUACGACUCCAUCGCGUCUGUGUACAAGCGAAGCUUGGAACUCCGGGACGAUAUCCGAGUAAGUGGGCUAGUAAGUAUUUGCUUUCCCCUUUAACCCACUGGGUGUUUAAGCCAGAUACUCGGAUACAGAAUGAUUAGUUUGCGGUGGGUUCACUCUUAGUGAACCCAGUGGGUGUAGUCCCCGAGACUUCUGUCGAGUGCUUGCACCGGCAGUUGUCUUUAUAUAAAUUUUCUUUUAACUUGAUCAGAUCAAAACUAAUCUGCUCGAAUGUUACCGGUGGGGGCAUUCCGAGUGCACCUACUGGUUUAGUCCCCGAGAGUAAUUUUACUUAGGUCGGGUAGUAGUAACCUCAUAGGCUUGUUUUUUGUUAUGUAUCUCAAUACGGCGGACCUGUUUGAGCUUCAUGCCAGUGGGGCCACUCUUAGUGAACCCACUGGGUGUAGUUCCCGAGACUGCUGUCGACUGCUUGCGUCGGCAGGGGUCUGAAGAACUUCGAGUUUGUAUUGUUGUCUUUGUUGAAUUUGUCUGAUCGUCUCUUCGCGCUGACUUGCAGAAGACUUGCGAGAUGGGAUCAGCGUACGAAACUCUGAGAGCUGAAAAGAUUCAGUUUGCUGCGGAACUGGAUGCAGCAAUGCUUGCCUUGGCUGGUAUGAAGGGUGUUCUGGCUGAACGAGAGAAGUCCUUGGAGGAGUCCCGUGAGGCAAACAAGGCAUUGGUGGCCGAAGUGGAGAAAAUGGGGAAACAAAGAACUGAGCUGAUGGGACAGAUGCAGGUGAUGAACAGGCGGUGCAUAGCACACGAGAAGUACGUCAGUGACUGGGCAAGGCAGAUGAUUGCGCUUCUCGGUGGUAAGUUCUGUUUUUCCGAGUGUUUGUUGACUGUGUAGUUCAUUCUGCACUUACUUGCUGCUCGUCUUGUCAUUGCAGAUUUUUGUAUGGACGCUGAGGCUGAAGCAGCUGACGUGGAGCGGUCGGUUAUUCCGAACGUUCCACGCGGCGAUGACGCCAAUCGAGACAUGCUGCGAGCGCACAUUCGCCUGGGUAAAGUGGGACCUUUCAUCGGUCGACUGAGAGAGGUCGUCGGCCGAAUCGACAAGGAGCUGUGGCCCGAAGACGAGUCUCGGCAAGAGAUGGAAGGGUUGAUGACUCGGCUGGAGGAGGUCCCUAACCGAGUGCAGGCGUGGAAGAAGUCUGUGACUCGCUGUGGUGCGGAUGUGGCGCUGUCCUGGUCCGAGUGCACUGCAAGGAGGCUCGCGAAGAGAAGCUGAAGGCGUUGGAGGUCGCAAACACCAAGAAGCUUCGAUUCGAAGAUUUCAUGGAGACCUUCCUUGAGAGCGCCACUCGCAUCGCAGAGGGGAUUGACCUCGACACUUUCGUGGAGCCUGCCAGUCCCAGUGCCAGUCCUGAUGACUCUUGAGAAAACUUUUACCUCGGUAUGCCGAUUGUUAGCUGUAUGAAACUUUGGCCACUGCUGUUGGCCGUCACAUUCGUGGUUCGGUGUGGAUAAGCUUGAUCUACACCGAACCAACUAUCUUUAGACGAACUUUGAAUUUGAAUCAAAUCUUUUGCUCUUCCUUUGCCAAAGAGUUGUUGACACGAUUUUGGCUCGUGGUUUUUGUUUGGCGUUUCUUGGUGAAGUCAAUGGCAAACAUGCGGAGCAUGUAAUUGUCAGUUGUCUUGAUAUCUGCAUGAGCCUCACUGAGGGUCUGCUGGGUCUCCGAGUGGAUCUGUAGGAUACACUCGAAGGCAAUUGUGUACUUAGGCGAUUCGUGAUCGCGGCUAAGUCUUCGAGUGCGACUGUAAGGUCGUACUCGGAGCGAGUUGUUACUCAUGUAAUUGUUAGUUGUCUUGACAUCUACAUGAGCCUCAAUAAGGUUCUGCUACUCAUGUAAUUGUCAGUUGUCUUGACAUCUACAUGAGCUUCAAUGAGGGUCUGCUGGGUCUCCGAGUGGAUCUGUAGGAUACACUCGAAGGAAGCUUUCUAUUUAGGCGAUUCUUGAUCGCAGACAAGUCCCCGAGUGCGACGUUUAGUGCACAUUCGGAGAAAGUUAGUACUUAGGCGAUUCUGGAUCGCGUCUAAGUCUCCGAGUGCGACGUUUAGUGCACACUCGGAGAAAGUUUGUACUUAGGCGAUUCUUGAUCGCAGCUAAGUCUUCGAGUGCGACGUUUAGUGCACACUCAGAGAAAGUUCGUACUUAGGCGAUUCUUUAUCGCAGCUAAGUCUCNNNNNNNNNNNNNNNNNNNNNNNNNNNNNNNNNNNNNNNNNNNNNNNNNNNNNNNNNNNNNNNNNNNNNNNNNNNNNNNNNNNNNNNNNNNNNNNNNNNNUAUAUAUAUAUAUAUAUAUAUAUGUGUGUGUGUGUGUGUGUGUGUGUGUGUGUGUGUGUGUGUGUGUGUGUCAGUAACUUAUCAAUUACACUUAUAAGUGAAUGGACACAACAGAGUAAAGACCCUCACCUGAAGUUGUAUGGAAACAGUAUGUGGUCAAAGAAAUUUUGAUCUGUUAGAAACCUUAGAAGGUUUUCCUCCGUCUCCUUGGGUUUGUCAGUUAGCGUCGCUAUAUGUAUUUUAUCUGGGUCAAUAAACCCAAUAUUUAGGAUGCUCUUACUUUUACACUCCAGAAUCUUCAUUCUGCAUAAUAGAGUACAAGUUAUAUAUAAACAAUGAAUUGAAAUAACUAAAAAAGUUAUAUGUAGACAACGAAUUAAAAAACUUACAGACAAUAGCAACUCAUAAGCGAUUUGUCGAGGGCGUCGCCAUUGUACAUCUGGAAGAGUUCAUCAAAGUCGAUAUGGAUUUCUUUGGAGCGGCCGUAGUACUCCCGUGGGACACUCAGCACGAUCAUCGUUCUCCCAUUCUUUGAUUCACUUAAGUACCAUUUAUGCAAGUAACGCAUAUUUGUUGGGAGAUCAUCUUUGCUGACCAAAGGCUGUCCCAUGACAAACUGUGGCUUAGGGGCUACCACAGCCUUGGGUAUCCUGUCGUCUUGGGAAGCCAGCAAAUCUUCAACCGAGAUACCACAUUCAUCCGCCAACUCCUUUGCUCUUUCAAAAGCUUGCCCCAGCACCGGAGGGGGAACAUUCUCGGUUAACACCUUGAGGGGUGGGAUCAACUGUUUGGCCUGUUGUCCAAGCUGAGGAACGUCUGAUUUUUUCUUGCUUGUAGUUGAACUUGAUUUGCUCCCACUUGCACUUGCACAUGAGCUGCUGUUUUUCACUUCCUUCUGCAAUGUGCGUGUAUAGUCAUCAGGCUUAUAGUGUAAGUCGUACUGUGAUGGAGUGGUUAUGAAGUCUUUUGCAAAUGCUAUUUGCUUCUCGGUGUAUUCCGUGCGGGGCUCGGGUUCCUUCUUUUUCAUCUGCGCAUCAUGAUGUUCCUUUGCUAUCCUGGCAUUUUUCUCGGGGGUACGAUCAUAAGGUCUGAUAGGAAGAUUAGCAUGAGGUACCUUUGGGAGGGGCGACAGUUUGCGCUUUGGGGAGCUCCGUCGCUUAGAAAUCAUCGACGGAGCGUUCUUGCUGGCACGCUUCCGCUUAGUAUCAUGUGCGGGCGGCGGCGGAGACGGACGACCCAAGUCCGGCGGCGGUGAUCGAGAUGGACUCGUGUNNNNNNNNNNNNNNNNNNNNNNNNNNNNNNNNNNNNNNNNNNNNNNNNNNNNNNNNNNNNNNNNNNNNNNNNNNNNNNNNNNNNNNNNNNNNNNNNNNNNGAACCUUGUAUGCUUUGCCUUCUUCUUCCCGUUCGACUGUGAGAACAGUGCUGACGACUUGAUUUGUAGCCGCGAUGUACAGAAGAAGGGGUUCUUUACUGAGCGGAGCAGUAAGAACCGGUUGGGUGGAAAGUAGGACUUUGAGGUCGUCGAAUGCGAUUUGGGCUUCGUCUGUCCACUCGAAAGUAUCUGAUUUCUUCAUGAGUCGGUACAGAGGAAGUGCCUUCUCGCCGAGUCGACUGAUAAACCUGCUCAAAGCCGCUAGGAAACCUGUGAGUCUUUGAACAUCGUGUAUUCUGACCGGCCGCUCCAUUCGGACGAUGGUCCCGAUCUUUUUGGGGUUGACAUCGAUCCCUCGUUCGGAAACGAAGAAACCGAGUAACUUUCUGGGAACGCCGAAUGAACACUUGGCUGGAUUGAGCUUGAUAUCGUACCUACGAAGGUUGGCGAAUGUUUCUGCCAAGUCAGUCAGCAGGUCGGAACCUUUGCAUGACUUGACUACGAUAUCAUCCAUAUACGCCUCCGCAUUCUGACCGAUCUGGUCGAGGAGGCAUUUUUGGAUCAUGCGCAUAAAGGUUGCUCCUGCAUUCUUCAAACCAAAUGGCAUAGUGAUAUAGCAGAAGCACCCGAAUGGGGUGAUGAAGGCUGUUUUUAAUUCAUCGGGGCCAUACAGACGGAUCUGAUGAUAGCCCGAGUAGGCAUCAAGGAAUGACAACCGCUUACAACCAGCAGUCGAAUCGACAAUUUGAUCGAUGCGGGGGAGCGGAAAAUGGUUUUCGGGCAGACCUUAUUGUUGGAAUUAUGCCCUAGAGGCAAUAAUAAAUAUAGUUAUUAUUAUAAUUCCUGUAUCAAGAUAAUCGUUUAUUAUCCAUGCUAUAACUGUAUUGAAUGAAGACUCAUUUACAUGUGUGGAUACAUAGACAAAACACUGUCCCUAGCAAGCCUCUAGUUGGCUAGCCAGUUGAUCAAAGAUAGUCAGUGUCUUCUGAUUAUGAACAAGGUGUUGUUGCUUGAUAACUGGAUCACGUCAUUAGGAGAAUCACGUGAUGGACUAGACCCAAACUAAUAGACGUAGCAUGUUGAUCGUGUCAUUUUGUUGCUACUGUUUUCUGCGUGUCAAGUAUUUGUUCCUACGACCAUGAGAUCAUAUAACUCACUGACACCGGAGGAAUACUUUGUGUGUAUCAAACGUCGCAACGUAACUGGGUGACUAUAAAGAUGCUCUACNNNNNNNNNNNNNNNNNNNNNNNNNNNNNNNNNNNNNNNNNNNNNNNNNNNNNNNNNNNNNNNNNNNNNNNNNNNNNNNNNNNNNNNNNNNNNNNNNNNNACCCAGUGUGAUUAUCGUUUUCAAGUGAGUAAACAUUCUAUUUGGAAAGAGCUCCUCCAACUGGAUGUUUUUCUGCAGAGACACCCAUGUGACAACACCAUUACAGUUUGAUUUCCUCUCCCAUAAUUGGAUGGUAAGAUCUGACAAAUAUGCGAGGCCAAGUCUGUUAUCAUGUGUGCGUAAGGGCUGAACUAAUCCAUAGGAGUCGGUGUUAAUAUGGCUGUCUACGGGCUUCUCGAUCAUAUCAAGGAGCUGAGUUUGAAGAUCAAACACAAUGACUUUACCACCAGAAAGCAUCCAGAAAAGUGUAUUCCCAACAAGGAUGCCAGGCCUUAUGCAUACCAUGAAAUCUGUAGACUCCAUGGAGACAAUGUCUCCCCAUAAACCAGAUGCGGAUUCAUAGAGGCAAGCGAAUGCUUUUGUGAAUCCAAUGACCCAGAUCAAGACCAAUUUGAGCGGGCCCGAGAAGCAAUUGCCGUGCGCGUGCCCUUGUUGGGCAUCGGCGCAUAUCACCUCGGCCUGCCAGUACACCCAGUGGAUAUCCGGGUCGAACAUGAGCCCGCGUGGACUAGCCACACGGUGCUGUAAGCCGGUGAUGGGAUCCCACACCAUGACCUCACGAAGCCACAUGUUGAGUAGGAUGGCGAGGCCGUGGCGGCUAACAAAUCCUGCCAGACCGUUUACCUGCUGUUUAUUUCCCUUCUUCAGUUUCGUCAGAAAGAACGCUGCAGCCGCAGCCGUAGCUAGGUUAGUUACACAUUCAGUUAGANNNNNNNNNNNNNNNNNNNNNNNNNNNNNNNNNNNNNNNNNNNNNNNNNNNNNNNNCCGGCGAAUCGAGGACAGGAGUGAAGUGGUGCUCCGUGCUCACGGAAUACCCUCUGAAGAAGCCGAGCAGUGGAGGUUUUUGGUGGUGCUUACGGAAGCGUUUGCCAAAAUCAGGGUCGGAGACGACGCUGAGCCAGCGCCGGCACACGAGGGAAGCGCGCGGGAGGGAGGAUGGCUGCGGAGGGAGGCGCAGGAGGAUCUCCGGCAGAAGGUACUCGUCUUCCAGCGGGGGCGCCGAGGAACGGAGGCGGCUCAUACUCAUACCUAAGUCUGUACUCUGUAGCAAAGAUCGGAAGAGAAUCAUCAAUCAAGAAUUCUAAACCAAAUCAAAAUUGGAAAAAGCAGGAGCCAGCGGCAGUCACCGUUUCUUCUUCCAGAUCCCCGGCCGGAGCGCCGCCGUUGGUCGCCUGGACGAAUUAGGGUUUGAGCAANNNNNNNNNNNNNNNNNNNNNNNNNNNNNNNNNNNNNNNNNNNNNNNNNNNNNNNNNNNNNNNNNNNNNNNNNNNNNNNNNNNNNNNNNNNNNNNNNNNNUCGGAGAAGAUCGCGUCACCAAGGCUCGGGNNNNNNNNNNGAAUAAUCUUCAUCUUCACCGCCCACUCAA
Molecule: long non-coding RNA, 43081 nt
Filed under: Hordeum vulgare
Lineage: Eukaryota; Viridiplantae; Streptophyta; Magnoliopsida; Poales; Poaceae
Description: long non-coding RNA (HVUL_LNC014496)
Source: RNAcentral